Molecule: long non-coding RNA, 1062 nt
Filed under: Bos grunniens (domestic yak)
Lineage: Eukaryota; Metazoa; Chordata; Mammalia; Artiodactyla; Bovidae
Description: lncRNA (ENSBGRG00000018667.1)
Source: RNAcentral
GGCUGGGAGUUGGCAAACCUCACUCACCUGUCGGGACCUGGAUCCGGACAGGGAGCGGGUUCUGGAGAUCAGGGCACGCUGGUUACCGCAGCCUCGACCUUCCCCGCGCCGGGACACCACGGCCAAGGGGUGUGGGGGCUGCUCCCCGAGACUCGAGACGCCUGGGCUCCGCUUCCCAGCUCCCUACUCCCCCCUCUUGCCCCCGGGCGCCAUCGACUUGGCUGGCAGCGAAGGCCAGCUCGAGCCGACGCCAGAGCUGCGGGUUCGAGAGGCUCCGCCUCCUUCGGCCACUUCGAGCCACAAGAGCCUCCGGGAAAUUUUCCAGUCUGUCUUAGGCUGCGGUCACUGCUGAGGUUUUCAGAACUUUGCAGGAGAGGGCCAGCUAGGACCUCUGCCUCCAACCCACUCCUUGCCUGCCGCCUGCCUGGGACAUCCCCGAGUCCAGGAGAUCCCGCUCCCCGACGCCCCAACUUUUGGCGAGCAAUCUGCGCUCCCAGACUGUCGAGCUCCUGUGCCAAGGGGCGUGCUGGUUUUCGGGGGCCGGCAACACUCUCCCUCGGCUCGCCUUCCACCUACCCCGGCGUGGGGCUGGGUGAGUUGGGAUCUGCGGUGCACUUGAGCGUUCCCAGAGCUCCGGAUUCGCCCUUCCAGGGGAUUGAACCCGGGCGGUCCCGGCCUCUUACUCCGAAACUCGAGUCGGCCCCGGUCUUUUCCUCCGAACUCCGGUGCCGUCGCGGGUCGGCCGGCGGAGCGUCCGGGCGCUCGAGACUUCGUGGCCUGUCGGGGCUGUGUGUACCAUGGCCGGCUGCUGCUGCCUGUCAGCGGAGGAGAAGGAGUCGCAGCGCAUCAGCGCCGAGAUCGAGCGGCAGCUUCGCCGGGACAAGAAGGACGCGCGCCGCGAGCUCAAGUUGCUGCUGCUGGGUGAGUGAGCCUCUCCCACCCCUGAGCUCCGGGCGUUUCGCUCCCGGCCGCUUCCCUCGCCCGGAUCCCUGGCUGGAGGACCUGGAACCGAGCGGUAUGCUGCUGCGCGGCUUCCUCCUCCUCCCAGGGGCUCGCGGAUGA